UACAGAGGGUGCUAGCGUUGUUCGGAAUUACUGGGCGUAAAGCGCGCGUAGGCGGACCUGCAAGUCGGGGGUGAAAGCCCGAGGCUCAACCUCGGAACUGCCUUCGAUACUGCGGGUCUCGAGUCCGGGAGAGGUGAGUGGAAUUCCUAGUGUAGAGGUGAAAUGCGCAGAUAUCAGGAGGAACACCAAUGGCGAAGGCAGCACUCUGGGACGUGACUGACGCUGAGACGCGAAAGCGUGGGGAGCGAACAGG
Molecule: ribosomal RNA, 253 nt
Filed under: uncultured bacterium
Lineage: Bacteria
Description: partial 16S ribosomal RNA
Rfam family: Bacterial small subunit ribosomal RNA
Source: RNAcentral